UGAAUACGAGACGCUAAGGCGUCGAAGUAGUGUAUGUCAUACUUCCAAGAAAAGCUUGCACUGUCAUAGAUAAAAAACGCCUGUACCAUAACCGACACAGGUGGGUAGGUAGAGUAUACUAAGGGGCGCGAGAUAACUCUCUCUAAGGAACUCGGCAAAAUAACUCCGUAACUUCGGGAGAAGGAGUGCCUUAUUAUUAAGGCUGCAAUAACAAGAUCCAAGCAACUGUUUAUCAAAAACACAGGUCUCCGCUAAGUCGUAAGACGAUGCAUGGGGGCUGACGCCUGCCCAGUGCCAGAAGGUUAAAGAAGUUGGUUAGCAUUUGCGAAGCUGAUAACUGAAGCCCUGGUGAACGGCGGCCGUAACUAUAACGGUCCUAAGGUAGCGAAAUUCCUUGUCGGGUAAGUUCCGACCCGCACGAAAGGCGUAAUGAUUUGGAUACUGUCUCGGAGAGGGGCUCGGUGAAAUAGACUUGUCUGUGAAGAUGCGGACUACCUGCACCAGGACAGAAAGACCCUAUGAAGCUUUACUGUAACUUGAAAUUGAAAUUGGACUUUAUUCGCGCAGCAUAGGUGGGAGGCGUUGAUUAUAAUCUUGUGGGAUUAUUGGAGCCAUCAGUGAGAUACCACUCUUGUAAUGUUAGAUUUCUAACUUUGAAUCAUUAUCUGGUCAAAGAACAGUUUCAGGCGGGCAGUUUGACUGGGGCGGUCGCCUCCUAAACGGUAACGGAGGCGUACAAAGGUUUCCUCUGAACGGUUAGAAAUCGUAUCUAGAGUGUAAAGGCAUAAGGAAGCUUGACUGUGAGACCUACAAGUCGAGCAGGGACGAAAGUCGGUCUUAGUGAUCUGACGGUACUGAGUGGAAAGGCCGUCACUCAACGGAUAAAAGUUACUCUAAGGAUAACAGGCUGAUCUCCCCCAAGAGUUCACAUCGACGGGGAGGUUUGGCACCUCGAUGUCGGCUCAUCGCAUCCUGGGGCGGUAGUACGUCCCAAGGGUUGGGCUGUUCGCCCAUGAAAGCGGUACGCGAGCUGGGUUCAGAACGUCGUGAGACAGUUCGGUCCAUAUCCGGUGUAGGCGUUAGAAUAUUGAGAGGAGCCUUCUUUAGUACGAGAGGACCGAGAAGGACAUACCUCUGGUGUACCAGUUAUCGUGCCAACGGUAAACGCUGGGUAGCUAUGUAUGGAGUGGAUAACCGCUGAAAGCAUCUAAGUGGGAAGCCCACCUCAAGAUAAGUA
This 1237-nucleotide ribosomal RNA is filed under the name metagenome. RNAcentral describes it as "bacterial LSU rRNA". It matches the Rfam family "Bacterial large subunit ribosomal RNA", at positions 1564 to 2810 of the family's 2925-position model. The record is from RNAcentral.